AUACCAUGAUGAGGACAAGCUUCAAUCAGCUCAUUUAAUCUUUCCCAAGCUUCUGAGAUUGACUCCCCAUCCUUUUGAUUAAAGUUUUGGAUGAGAUGCCUAUAGUGC
Small nucleolar RNA from Lupinus angustifolius (narrow-leaved blue lupine), 108 nucleotides. It matches the Rfam family "Plant small nucleolar RNA R71". From Rfam's summary of the family: R71 is a member of the C/D box family of snoRNAs containing the C (UGAUGA) and D (CUGA) box motifs. NCBI's taxonomy places the organism in Eukaryota, Viridiplantae, Streptophyta, Magnoliopsida, Fabales, Fabaceae. The record is from Rfam.